GCAACGAUCUUGUAUGGAUGCAUUACAGGGCAAUUACUCCCUUGGCAGAUAGCUAUAGUACUAGCUAAAUUGAGCAAACAAGUACAGUAAGCUCACUGCCAAAGGAGAUUUGCCCGGCAAUUCAACCCUAUUACGUACUAGC
Molecule: microRNA precursor, 142 nt
Filed under: Linum usitatissimum (flax)
Lineage: Eukaryota; Viridiplantae; Streptophyta; Magnoliopsida; Malpighiales; Linaceae
Description: miR399e stem-loop (lus-MIR399e)
Gene: lus-MIR399e
Rfam family: mir-399 microRNA precursor family (bases 16-127)
About the family: mir-399 was identified in both Arabidopsis thaliana and Oryza sativa computationally and was later experimentally verified. mir-399 is thought to target mRNAs coding for a phosphatase transporter.
Source: miRBase by way of RNAcentral